This 467-nucleotide ribosomal RNA is filed under the name uncultured bacterium. RNAcentral describes it as "partial 16S ribosomal RNA". It matches the Rfam family "Bacterial small subunit ribosomal RNA", at positions 28 to 507 of the family's 1533-position model. The record is from RNAcentral.
GACGAACGCUGGCGGCGUGCUUAACACAUGCAAGUCGAACGAUGAUCAGGAGCUUGCUCCUGUGAUUAGUGGCGAACGGGUGAGUAACACGUGAGUAACCUGCCCCUGACUCUGGGAUAAGCGUUGGAAACGACGUCUAAUACUGGAUAUGAUCACUGGCCGCAUGGUCUGGUGGUGGAAAGAUUUUUUGGUUGGGGAUGGACUCGCGGCCUAUCAGCUUGUUGGUGAGGUAAUGGCUCACCAAGGCGACGACGGGUAGCCGGCCUGAGAGGGUGACCGGCCACACUGGGACUGAGACACGGCCCAGACGCCUACGGGCGGCAGCAGUGGGGAAUAUUGCACAAUGGGCGAAAGCCUGAUGCAGCAACGCCGCGUGAGGGAUGACGGCCUUCGGGUUGUAAACCUCUUUUAGUAGGGAAGAAGCGAAAGUGACGGUACCUGCAGAAAAAGCACCGGCUAACUACGUG